RNAcentral lists this ribosomal RNA (561 nucleotides) under Triticum aestivum (bread wheat). RNAcentral's name for it is "partial small subunit ribosomal RNA". Lineage: Eukaryota; Viridiplantae; Streptophyta; Magnoliopsida; Poales; Poaceae. The record is from RNAcentral.
AUGUCCGUGUGCUCUGGCUUCACCGGGAGCAGCCCCGACUCGGUCUUCGGCUGGACCAGGCGGAGGGAGCGCGGGGAGAGAUGGGAACCCUCAUUGAUGACGAGGACGCCGCCGCGGGUGCAGCGCCAGAGCGGCGGCUGGACGGGGCGGAAAGCCGGCGAGCCGGGGGAGAGCGAGCCGGAGCCCGACGACGAUGACAUCCCCGGCUCCAUUCGGCGCGGUGUCCAGGAGCUGCCACCCCGCUGUACAGCACUAGAGCUAAGCUGGGAGAAAUCAAGUUUCCUUGACAUGGAAACAGAUAAACAGUUUAUGCAAGAGCAGCAGAGAGCUGUAGAAAGGAAAUUUGCAAAGGCAAGCUCUCUGAUGGCUCUGGCCUUAGCAGAGCAACACAACUACCCGCAGCUCAUGGUGAAGUGCGUUGAGUUCAUCGUUAGCACUCCUGCAAUUCUUGAUGCUGUGUUGGCGACAGACGGAUAUAAGCAUCUGGUGGCAAGCUGUCCUAUGGUGUUGCCCGAGCUUCUCAAGUCUGCACGGGGCAUAUCAAGGGUAACCAUAAGAUGA